AGGGUCUUUGGCCCUUAAGGGCGCCAAUGAAGGCACCCCUCCCUACCCCAAGAUCUGUCUCCAGUGGUUUUUUUCCUUCCUGGGGCCCAAAGAGGGAGUGAGACUCGGAGGCUGCAGAUCCGGAGAGGAGGGUCCAGAAAACCAGGGGAGAAAGAAAUAAGGGUCUCACAGGUUGGUCCCGGGUCCUGGGAGCCAGGGGUUGAGGGGCCCCAGGCUCUGAGACCUCACUGUUCAGGACAGGGCUGGAUUUGGGGAGGAACAUGAGAUGGGUUUCGGAGAAGUGUGAGAAGCGGGGCGGAAGCCAAGAGCUGGCCUUGCUGGGUGAAGCUGGGCCUCCUAACAGGCUUCUCGUCUGGAGGUGAUGAGCUUCCCACAGGAAGACGGGGAACCAGGCUAGGGGAAGCCCUGGCUUUCAGUUGGGUCUGUGGAGGGGAGCUGGUUGGAGGAGGUGACCCCAAAGCCUUCCCCCACUCCGAUUCCCUCUGAGUCCCUGACCGCCCCCAGCUAAGCCUGGGGGGAGGGAGAAGGGCUGUGUCCCCCCCCACCCCCCCGUAGGCCUCCCUCUCCCUUUUUCCUCUGUGACAAAGAAUAAGCACCCCCUCCCUUUCCUGGUGACCACACAGCCAGCCGUGGGGGGUGGGGGGUGGGGGUGAUAUUCCCGUUGCUAUAGCAACAGCAGGCAGCUUGUGUCAGCAGGGGGUUGUGUGGACCAGAACCUGUUCUCUUCGGUUGGUUCCCACGCAGCCUGGGGGGAGGAUCUAAGAUCUAGGCUGCCCCCAGCCCCUCCCCCUCCCAGGCUUGGGGCUCACAGAAGCUUGAACGCCCCCCACCCCCAACUCCACCCCAACCCCUGUCCCCACCGCUGCCCUCAAGGUAACAUUCUGUGAGUAAUGGGGCAGCAGAAUCAGGAAAUCCCAGCUCUUGGCUGGAGAUGAGGGGACCUUGGCCGCCACAACUCCAGGGAGAAGGCGCACGACCCUCCCCCAUCCCUCUGACCCCAUGGUAAUGAACCUGGCCAGUGGGGGCCAGAAUGGGCACAGCUUGUCCAGGGCCCAGGGCUCAGACCUCCUCCCAGCAUUCCGCCUGCCCUCCCCUCCCCUGGAGGCUUGGUGCAGAUGCUGUUAGCACACGCACAACUCAGCAAGGUCACUGCUGGCAGGUCACCCCGUGAGCAGGAGCUGAGCGGGAGCGGGCAGUCACACCCCUGGAAUUGGCCCCAGCACCCUGGAGGGCAAGGCUGAUGGGCUGUGUUCCUGAGAGCCUGCUUUUCUGAGGAAUCUCAUCCUUUCCCUGCUGCACCGCCAGGGGAACUCCCCCCAUUCCUACUUCCAUUCGCUUCUGACACCCCUUGGGUCCCUGCAUUGGGCCUGCAAUGGGUACACACAUGCAGUCGGCCAGGCCUGGGGAAGUCUCCAUGGCUGAGGGUCUGGGCCACCUCCUGACUUCUCUGAGGUCCCAUGAUGCACAGUUGUCGAGUGCCCGCUGGGGCCAUCCUAUAAGGGUGGUGUUUCUCUCGUUGCAUGGAUGAGGAUGCCGAGACCCAGAGAGGGGCUCUGGGGCCUGGCAGAACCUGGGGUCACUUCUCUGCACCUCCUCAGCUCCACGGCCAGCUUUCUCCUUUGACAGUCAUCAGAGGGAGCCGACCUCUGGCCCAGGGGCAGGGUGGGGUCCGCAGCCCCCUGUCCCACCCU
RNAcentral lists this long non-coding RNA (1691 nucleotides) under Sus scrofa (pig). RNAcentral's name for it is "lncRNA (ENSSSCG00030048654.1)". The record is from RNAcentral. Lineage: Eukaryota; Metazoa; Chordata; Mammalia; Artiodactyla; Suidae.